RNAcentral lists this transfer RNA (74 nucleotides) under Camelus bactrianus (Bactrian camel). It matches the Rfam family "tRNA". From Rfam's summary of the family: Transfer RNA (tRNA) molecules are approximately 80 nucleotides in length. RNAcentral also lists the same sequence under 1 other name. Lineage: Eukaryota; Metazoa; Chordata; Mammalia; Artiodactyla; Camelidae. The record is from Rfam by way of RNAcentral.
GAGGGUAUAGCUCAGUGUUACAGAGUGUUUGCCUAGCAUGCAUGAAGUCCUGUGUUCAAUCCGCAGUACUGCCA